This 112-nucleotide microRNA precursor is filed under the name Pristionchus pacificus. Its description in RNAcentral is "microRNA ppc-mir-2238b precursor (ppc-mir-2238b-1)". The stretch from base 13 to 98 matches the Rfam family "mir-2238 microRNA precursor family". Lineage: Eukaryota; Metazoa; Nematoda; Chromadorea; Rhabditida; Neodiplogasteridae. The record is from miRBase by way of RNAcentral.
CCCUCCAUGGAACUAGUCUGCCUACUUCCCGUCUACUCCUUUCGUCAUUCGUUGAUACGAAUACGAAUGACAAUCGAGUGGGUGAGAAGGAAGACUUGCUUCCUUGGUUGGU